GUAUUGUAAAAUGAUUGGAUAGGAUGUUAAGCAUGCAGGUGCAAAACACGUUUAAACAAUAAUGUUUUACAAAUUUGAAAUGAAUUUUGCUCUUAUUCAUUUUUUUUUUCUUUUUCCUAAGUUCUUCAUUGAUAUGGUAGGCACAUCUCCAUGAAUUCUUAUUGUUUAAUCCAAUACUAAAACUUUUAUUUGUUUCUUGGUGUUUUUGGGACCUUAAGACCUUGGCUUAUACCAAAGGAGUUGGUGGCUAGGGUUGAAUCACAAUCAUAGCUGAAUGGUAAUUGGGUGUUAUGUGUUUUUUUUUCUUUUUUCAUUAUUUCCUUAUUUUAUUCUUUGUUACCUUAAUUGCUUUUAAUUCUAGUAAGUAUAGAAAUGGUAAGUCCAAUAUGGCAAGUGGACAAAUAUGGUAAGAACCCAAAUAAGGAAAGAGAUCUUUUCAAAUAAGGCAAGUGAAUCAAAACCAAUAAGGAAACCCUAAACGCAUUAAAGUGUGGAUCAAGGCCUAAAUAGGACAUCAAGACCCUUGCAUGGGGAAAUAGACCAAUGGGCAUUAUAAUAGAAUUGUACUUUUAAUUUAAGGUAUUUUGGGUUUGUAAUCUUUUCUUUUCCUUCCUUUCUUUUAAUUGUAGGUUAAAGGGUUGUAAUCUUUAUCUCCCCGCACCCCCCCUCCUUUUUUUGGAUGUUUUACUUUACUACAAUAUAACCAAUAUGUAAUUAACUUACUAAUUAUUGCAUUUUCAUUCAUGUUUAGUUAGUUAA
This 759-nucleotide unclassified non-coding RNA is filed under the name Hevea brasiliensis (rubber tree). Lineage: Eukaryota; Viridiplantae; Streptophyta; Magnoliopsida; Malpighiales; Euphorbiaceae. The record is from RNAcentral.